This 118-nucleotide small nuclear RNA is filed under the name Crocodylus porosus (Australian saltwater crocodile). RNAcentral describes it as "U2 spliceosomal RNA (ENSCPRG00005011813.1)". It matches the Rfam family "U2 spliceosomal RNA", at positions 67 to 185 of the family's 192-position model. From Rfam's summary of the family: U2 is a small nuclear RNA (snRNA) component of the spliceosome (involved in pre-mRNA splicing). Lineage: Eukaryota; Metazoa; Chordata; Crocodylia; Crocodylidae. The record is from RNAcentral.
UGUCCUCCACAGGAGGUCUAUAUUGAGCAGAUUCUUUUUGGUAUUGGGUGGUGGAACCGGAGCAUGCUCCAUCCACUCCAUGCAUUGACCUGGUAUUACACGCUUCCAGGACCAGUGC